This 251-nucleotide unclassified non-coding RNA is filed under the name Neodevriesia xanthorrhoeae. Its description in RNAcentral is "partial internal transcribed spacer region". The stretch from base 1 to 46 matches the Rfam family "Eukaryotic small subunit ribosomal RNA", at positions 1786 to 1831 of the family's 1831-position model. The record is from RNAcentral. Lineage: Eukaryota; Fungi; Ascomycota; Dothideomycetes; Mycosphaerellales; Neodevriesiaceae.
AAGUCGUAACAAGGUCUCCGUAGGUGAACCUGCGGAGGGAUCAUUACCGAGUGGAGGGCGCUCCGGCGCCCGACCUCCCAACCCUUUGAUUUGAUCAAGACCUCUUCUGCCUCGGGGGCGACCCGGCCUCCGCCCUCGCGGGGGGCGACCCGGUCCUCCCGGUGGUCCAACACACCAACUCUGCAUCAAUUGUCGUCGGAUGUUUGAAGCGAAUUCAAUCAAAACUUUCAACAACGGAUCUCUUGGUUCUG